UACGUAGGGUGCAAGCGUUGUCCGGAAUCAUUGGGCGUAAAGCGCGCGUAGGUGGUCAUGUAAGUCCGCUGUGAAAGUCAAAGGCUCAACCUUUGAAAGCCGGUGGAUACUGCAUGACUAGAGUACGGAAGAGGCGAGUGGAAUUCCUGGUGUAGCGGUGGAAUGCGCAGAUAUCAGGAGGAACACCAAUAGCGAAGGCAGCUCGCUGGGACGUACUGACACUGAGGCGCGAAAGCGUGGGGAGCGAACAGG
RNAcentral lists this ribosomal RNA (252 nucleotides) under uncultured bacterium. Its description in RNAcentral is "partial 16S ribosomal RNA". It matches the Rfam family "Bacterial small subunit ribosomal RNA", at positions 524 to 776 of the family's 1533-position model. The record is from RNAcentral.